CAAGAGCUUAUUUCACUCCCUACCUA
This 26-nucleotide transfer RNA is filed under the name Tacinga palmadora. RNAcentral describes it as "partial tRNA-Leu". The record is from RNAcentral. RNAcentral also lists the same sequence under 1 other name. Lineage: Eukaryota; Viridiplantae; Streptophyta; Magnoliopsida; Caryophyllales; Cactaceae.